AUUCUAAGUGUGGAACAGAUUUUUCAGGGAGUAUUCAGGCAAGCAAAGCAUGAUUUUGCUAAUGGUUAAAGACAAAAUAGAAAGAACAUGAAUGCAGACAGGAGCAGGAAAGAGGAAGGAAGAAGAAACAUCACUUGCCUCACAAUAAUUUUUAAAAAGCUCAACUGGUGCCCUGUUCUUUCUGUGCUGCUUUCACUCCCUGCAAGAGUAAAACCAGCUAGAGUACCCUUUCUCUUCACCAGUCAUCAGUUUCUGUUUGCCACGGCCUGAAAAAGAGAAAGUCAAAAACUUUUCCAGAAGACAGCAGUCACUUUAAAAGGAUCACCACUACUGACAUCCAUUAUCAUUUGGUGAAUCAGAUGCCAAAGGUCCAAAUGGCUGAAAUAAUGAGAUCCAGAACUGCUAUCCAAAUUUCUGGAAAAGAAUGGAAAAAUGUAUCAUGUAAUGCUUUUAUUUUGAUUGCUUUUCCUUCAAAGUAAAUGUUUCAAUCUGGUAAACAUCCUUAAUUCCACCUCAAAACCAGAACAUUGUUUUAGG
This is a long non-coding RNA of Passer domesticus (house sparrow), 537 nucleotides long. RefSeq lists it as uncharacterized. Lineage: Eukaryota; Metazoa; Chordata; Aves; Passeriformes; Passeridae. The transcript has 4 exons. The record is from RefSeq and is a predicted model, not a curated record.